GGGACUGAGUAGCUCGGGGGCCGUCCCAGUCUAAGGACUCCAAACCCGCCAUCCCCCCUCGCUGCAGACUUCGCUUACUGCUUAGUUGCAGGAGGAUGGAGCAGAGGUGGCUUCCCUACGUUUUCCACCACGAUGUAACGGAUGCUUAUAAAAAGUUGUAUUAAAGAGCUGACUACAGCCCAGAAUCGAUCAACCAAAGCGACCAGCCUCUCUGGAUAAAAUAGCUCUUCCCAAGGCCUUCUUCUUGAAAACAUAGCGUCUUUUUUUUUUUAGUACAUCCUGUGCUUUUUUGUUUCCCCCUUGAGAAUGGUGUUGUGUGAUAAAUGUGAAUUUAUUAGGGAGCAGAGUGGCACCUUCCAAAAUUACUUAGCUAUACUGACUGUUGCUGCUCCCGGAGCAGUCACUUAAAUUCAGACUCCUGUACUCAACCUCUCUUCUAGGAUGCUCU
Molecule: long non-coding RNA, 448 nt
Filed under: Mus caroli (Ryukyu mouse)
Lineage: Eukaryota; Metazoa; Chordata; Mammalia; Rodentia; Muridae
Description: predicted gene 28616 (MGP_CAROLIEiJ_G0006217.1)
Source: RNAcentral